GACGAACGCUGGCGGCGUGCCUAACACAUGCAAGUCGAACGGAGUCGGCCCCGCAAGGGACUGACUUAGUGGCGAACGGGUGAGUAACGCGUGAGCAACCUGCCUUUCAGUGGGGGACAACAGUUGGAAACGACUGCUAAUACCGCAUAAUGCAUUUUGACCGCAUGAUCGAGCUGCCAAAGAUUUAUUGCUGAAAGAUGGGCUCGCGUCUGAUUAGAUAGUUGGUGAGGUAACGGCCCACCAAGUCGACGAGCAGUAGCCGGACUGAGAGGUUGAACGGCCACGUUGGGACUGAGAGACGGCCCAGGCUACUACGGGAGGCAGCAGUGGAGAAUAUUGGGCAAUGGGGGAAACCCUGACCCAGCAACGCCGCGUGAAGGAAGAAGGCUUUCGGGUUGUAAACUUCUUUUACAAGGGACGAAGAAAGUGACGGUACCUGGAGAAAAAGCCACGGCUAACUACGUG
This 465-nucleotide ribosomal RNA is filed under the name uncultured bacterium. RNAcentral's name for it is "partial 16S ribosomal RNA". It matches the Rfam family "Bacterial small subunit ribosomal RNA", at positions 28 to 507 of the family's 1533-position model. The record is from RNAcentral.